GUCCAUGGCCAUGGCUUUUAGAGGUCAGCAGCAGCAGCAGUUUGGCCUAGCCUAGCCCUAGCUACAACUGACCACCAUGGCCAAAAGCAGGGCUGCACCUGCACCACCACCAUUUCUGCUGCUGGAGCUGCAGCUGCAGCUGUUGUUGGCGAUCCGGAGCUGACGGUCAAUCAUUGUCUUUCUUUCUUGGAUCACAACGGCGGUGGAGGAGGAGGAUGGUGCGGUCGCCGUGCGUGUGCCCGCGACCUGUUCGACGGAAUUCCCCACCGGACCGGGGGGGUCCACCGCGACGGUGUGUGGGUGUGCGGAUGCGGCGUGAGAGCUGGCGCCGGCGCUGCCGCGUCGUCCUUGCUGAGAUCUCCUCCCCGGCCGCCGUCGUGCCCGCCGUGCCGAGGACGCCAUGACUGCAUGACAGAAUCUGGCCAAUCGUUCUUGCAGCGCUGAGCACGGUGUCCUGGAUGGGAGAGACAUGGCCGUCGUGCUGAGCUGAUUGGUAAUUCGGUACACUGGCUGCAUUCCCGCAAAUUAGCCGAGUGAUCCGUGGAUUUGGAUGAAAGUUAACACCACAUUCAGGCAGGCAGCAGGCUGGUCUCAACGUGGGUGGUGGGUCAGGCAGACAACUUCACCGUGGUGGACACACAUAGGCCGAUCGCAAAUCUGGCAUCCUUAACAGAGGGGCAUGUGCAACCUGAUUUCAUAGGCAGGAAGGUUGUCUCUGCGAUGGCAUGGGUAAUCUCUCUGGAUCCUGGGUUAAUCCAUUGAUUUUGAUUUGACUAAAUGCCAGGUGAUGCGUGGAAUGUUACAUAAGGUGGUGAUCUAGGAUUCACAGAUUGCAGAUUGUGUGAGAAAUUCGGUCGGUGUUCUCAUGGCUUUAUGUCCGUGGUCUGGUUGAUAACGGAAGACUGACAGUGAUUUGUUGGAAGACUGCAUUAGCUUCAGGACUCAGGCAUGUGCUUGUUGGGGGUUCGAUUUGUUCGUCGUAGUACAGAGAUAAGUGAAUUGUGAAGAGUGACUUCUUAAACUGGAUUGUGAGGAUAAGGUGGGGUGCAUCAGUUUUGACCAGUAGUGUGGGUGCAAAGGUUGUACAUGCUUGUCUCUGCUGCUUAGACAAGCAAUAAUGGGUACAGCCAUACAUGAGCAAAGCCCAAAGGAAGAUCCAUUUUGUGCAAUGGUUUUAUAUUCUUGGACUUGUAGCUGGAUAGAUCUCUUUCUUAGUCCAAUGAAGCGUAGUGUGCGACUGAGACCUGUAAAAGUCUGGAAGAUAACUGCAUUUCAACUACGGUCUGCAAUGUAUAUACCUCAUGCGUAUAAAUACAAUUUCUCAAGAUCAUGGAGAAGGAUGAAGAAAUGCUGUUUCUUAAAUAAAAUGGAAAACUUGCUAACCUCCGUAUUCGUCAGUGCAGAACGAGAGGCAAUAUUGUUAUCAGGUUAGCAUACAUGUGAAUAUAUUUUUUUUGUUUUUUUAUGAGAUAAUGGAAUAAUUAUUUUGUUGUACAUUAGUCUAUAAAGAUUGCUUGAGUAACCAAUGACCAAUUAUCCGUGGUAAAACCAACAAGUUUUUGAUAAUUUGUAUUGCUGUAUAGCUACUAGGUAGUACUAUUUUUUUUUUUACUAUGCUGUACAGGAAUCAUGCUGGACCAUAAUGAAAAACCCAUGAUUAUCUGAUAAUCUAAUGUGCUCCAGUUUGCGAUGAA
Molecule: non-coding RNA, 1694 nt
Organism: Oryza sativa Japonica Group (Japanese rice)
Lineage: Eukaryota; Viridiplantae; Streptophyta; Magnoliopsida; Poales; Poaceae
Source: RefSeq, a predicted model, not a curated record